This 1179-nucleotide unclassified non-coding RNA is filed under the name Hevea brasiliensis (rubber tree). Lineage: Eukaryota; Viridiplantae; Streptophyta; Magnoliopsida; Malpighiales; Euphorbiaceae. The record is from RNAcentral.
GCUAUUAUCAUGCUUUCCUAGAGCCAAUUUAUAAGAUAUGAUAGAGAUGGUCUUUAUUAAGAGAGAAAGCUGGUGGAGAAAACUUUUGCUUAAAAUGCUUUUAUUAGAUGUAUAUCUUGUCCUUAUUUUAGCUGUUGGAAGGAAUUGGAAGAGAGUGAAUAGUUUGUGACUGAAGUAUCUUCAGAUGAUUUGGCUAAAAUCUUGAACUCAAAAGAUGUUGCACAUGAACUUGUGAUGUCUGAUGACAGAGAAUUUAAUAUGCCUUUUCAAAUGCAUUCACAGUAUCACCUAAGGUGUUUGGGUGAUUGCAUAAAUAACUUGAAUUUUGUAUUAUAUAUGAGAAGGGUUGGGAAGGGUUGUUGUUAGUACACAGGAACAACUUUGAUCUCUUAUAGUAGUAUGUGGAAUCAAGGCAGCUGAAGUGAAAUAAUUUGUGUAGAGGAGAUUAAGAUCUUUUAAAAUUGGCUGCUUUCUUCAGAUUUGGAUCUGCAUAUGAAUUUCUGAUCUUCUCUUGAUGGCCACUGGAAUUCAAUGCACAGAGAAAACAUUAUCAGGCAAUAUUAAAAUGGGAAAAUUGUAGAAGGAUAAAGUAGAUGUAACAUAUUUAGGAAUGUGAAACAGAAUGGACAAUUGGGUCAUGAUAUGAUAUUAGAUAGUUAUAGGACAAGUGUUUUGUAUCUGACUUGAAAUACUUGAAGAUGAAGUGGAACCUAAUUAAAACCCCAAUCUCAUAACACCAUUACAGAGUAAAUAAGAUCUGCCCAUUGAUAAUUUUUACAGCAUUCCUUAUUUCUAUGCUAAGAAGAUAAAUAAAAGGGUAAAUUACAAUUUAGUCGCUAAGGUUUGACAAAACCAAGCAAUUUAAUCUCAGAUAUUUAGCAAAACCUAUAAUUUAGUCACUCUAUCCAAUUUUCCAUCCAAGUUAGCAAAAUGACCAAAAUGCCUUUAACUCUAUAUAUUUUCUAACUGAAGGAUUUAGUCUAUAGGAUUUUAUAUUAUAAACAAAAUAGUAAUACUAUUUAGUCCUUGUGAUUUUCUAAAUUGUAAGUUUUGCCAAAUAUUAGGGAUUAAAUUGCUUGAUUUUGAAAAGACAAGACUUAGUUGUAGGUUUUGCCAAACCUCAAGUUUAAAUUGUAGUUUAACCUAAAAAAAAAUUGAUUUCUCCAUGUCUUAUUCAAC